UGGGGAAUAUUGCGCAAUGGGGGAAACCCUGACGCAGCGCCGCCGCGUGCGGGAUGAAGGCCUUCGGGUUGUAAACCGCUUUUGAUUGGGAGCAAGCCUUUUGGGUGAGUGUACCUUUCGAAUAAGCGCCGGCUAACUACGUGCCAGCAGCCGCGGUAAUACGUAGGUCCCGAGCGUUGUCCGGAUUUAUUGGGCGUAAAGCGAGCGCAGGCGGUUCGAAAAGUCUGAAGUGAAAGGCAGUGGCUCAACCAUUGUAGGCUUUGGAAACUGUGGAACUUGAGUGCAGAAGGGGAGAGUGGAAUUCCAUGUGUAGCGGUGAAGUGCGUAGAUGUAUGGGGGAACACCGGUGGCGAAGGCGGCUCUCUGGUCUGUAACUGACGCUGAGGAACGAAAGCGUGGGUAGCAAACAGG
This 411-nucleotide ribosomal RNA is filed under the name Verrucomicrobiota bacterium. RNAcentral describes it as "Verrucomicrobia bacterium partial 16S ribosomal RNA". It matches the Rfam family "Bacterial small subunit ribosomal RNA", at positions 355 to 776 of the family's 1533-position model. The record is from RNAcentral. Lineage: Bacteria; Pseudomonadati; Verrucomicrobiota.